This is a long non-coding RNA of Thalassophryne amazonica, 99 nucleotides long. RefSeq lists it as uncharacterized. Lineage: Eukaryota; Metazoa; Chordata; Actinopteri; Batrachoidiformes; Batrachoididae. The transcript is spliced from 2 exons. The record is from RefSeq and is a predicted model, not a curated record.
GAAAGCACCGUUUAACAUUACUUAUCCCAUUGAAUCUAGUUCCAUAAGUGAGGAGGGUUCGACCAGCAGCUUCAACAUCUGUAUCAACGUCCAGCACCA